CAUGUAGACGCCAAAUAUUGCGACUAGUUAUCUACUCUUCAACGACUAUUUUAUUUCAUUUGGGCCAUUUAAUUGGGCUUUUGUAGAGUCAACUCAUUUAUCUAAACUAAUAGCCCUAACUAUAAAACCUAAUCUCUCUCUCGCGACAAACUCUAAUCUCUCUCUCGCGACAAACCCUAAUCUCUCUCUCGCGACAAACCCUAAUCUCUCUCUCUCUCUCUCUCGAUCUCGAUAACCCUAAUCCUCUCGAUUCCUCUAUCUAUUUCAUUUCUCUCAAUCUUCAUCGAAUCGAACCCUAAUCGAUCUCAAUCUUCAUAUCGAUGGCUCCUUGUGGAAGAAAGAAUAUAGGAGGAGGAGGAAGGGCUACGAAAUCGCCUCAAAUCGACCCACAGGUCUUCCAACCAAGUAUACCUUCCUCUGUCGAACCCUCAAACCCAGAUCCAAAGUCUUAGCGAAAUCCUGUCUCAAUCGGCCAGCCUCCAACGGGCCCUACUUACAGAGACAAUCCAUCUCCAAAGAAUCUUUUCUAGUCGGCGAGGAGCUCUCCUGUGGGAGAAGAUCUAAUCAGUUCUCCAUCUGCUCACCUCAAGGCUCUAGAUCGACUCAUCGUCGCGCCUCUGGAUCGAAUCAAACUCCAUCAUCAUAUCAACCUCUAGCCUCGAAUCAACCUCAACCAUCUCCUCCACCUCGAGCUUCUGUAUCACAUCACAGUUCUCAAGCGCAAAACUCACACAAGAAAGAAGAUGAGAAAGCUGAUUCUAAGGAAGAUGUGCUAAGGGAUUCCAAUCUCCCAGAGAUGUGCUCGCUGCUUUACAGGAAUUGCUUGUCCAGCCAGGCUGUGAGCAACAUACCACCGUUAGCUCUCGCAUAUUAGACCCUAGAACCACUUAAUUUGGUAAGGACAAGUCAAAGCUUACCCGGAAGAUUGCAAAGGUUUUUACAAACAAGUUUGAUGUGCCAUAUUAAAGUUGGAGUUAUGUGCCUCUGCAAGAACAGAAAUAUACUUCCUCGAAUUUGUGAAACAACACACCUGGCAUCCCUCACUGACCGGUGUGGUUGAAGCAAAAGUCUAUUUGGUUUGUCAACUCCGUAUGAAAGACAUGGUUUCCAAGGCUACGAGUUGACGAGAGCAACCCAAUCGGAAUUGGCAAUAAACUUCGGAAAGAAAUGUGUGACUAUUGGGACACAAAAGAAGCCCAAACAAAGAGUGCAACCACAUCAGCAGCUCGAAUGUUUGACAGUAAUGGUGUUGGUCCUCAUAAGCACGUGUCGAAGUCGAUGUCUUACAUACAAGUCGAACUAGAGAUGGUAGUUACAUCAAGAGAUGGAAGUUGAAUGGGGAAAACCACCUACUAUAGGUGAAGUUUUCAUCAGGACUCCUACCAAAAAUAAUGGGACUUUUGUCGAUAGGAAAGCGCAAGAAGUUCAUGAGGCAUAUAAGAAAAACAAAGCAACUAAGUUGGCUGCCCUCGAGAAUUAUGAGUCGUUCGAUGGUACUUCGUCUCGAUCAGAGAUAUCUCAAGAGGAGGAUUACGAGAUUUUUCGUCGGUCUACUGUCACAAAUGACAAAAGAGAAUACUUUGGAGUUGGAAGCCUAUGGAGUUACAUCAACGGAAAGUAGAAGUACCCAAGAAACUCUUCUUCAUUCACAAGCCUGCAAACACAUCUUGAGGAAGCUAACCGCAAAAUAGAGGAACAAGCAGCGCGUGAAGCAGGGACUUUGUGGGUUGCAGCUAAGCAGGAAGCAGAUAUCAAGCACUUGACGAUCAUGAAGAAGUACUUGAGCGUAACUAACCCAAACUUUCUCACCUUUUUCGAGUCUCAACCAAUUGAUCCCGCUACUACUUGUGUUAAAACAUAGGUCCCUUAACUUUCCCUCCUUCUCUGAACUUGAAAACUUGUGUUGGUUUGAAAAAGAAUAUUUGUUGUUUGGUUUUGAACAUGAAUGUGUUGUUUGGUUUUCAGUUGAA
Arabidopsis lyrata subsp. lyrata is the source of this 1970-nucleotide RNA transcript. RefSeq lists it as uncharacterized. The record is from RefSeq and is a predicted model, not a curated record. NCBI's taxonomy places the organism in Eukaryota, Viridiplantae, Streptophyta, Magnoliopsida, Brassicales, Brassicaceae. The transcript has 5 exons.